This is a long non-coding RNA of Centruroides sculpturatus (bark scorpion), 755 nucleotides long. RefSeq lists it as uncharacterized. The transcript is spliced from 5 exons. NCBI's taxonomy places the organism in Eukaryota, Metazoa, Arthropoda, Arachnida, Scorpiones, Buthidae. The record is from RefSeq and is a predicted model, not a curated record.
UAAAAAUUUACCUGAUUAUUAUAAUCUAAGGGUUUAUGAUGAUGAUAAUCUAAGUUUAUGAUUAUGAUUUAGGUGUAGCUCCAAUCUGAAAUGAACAAUGAAAAUCAAUUAAUUAUAAAUAGCAGUACAGCAAGAGAAGACUGAAUUAGUCAAUUAUAAUGUGUUCAUGGAAUUAACUUUGUGAGCCUGUAUUUUAGGCCACACUUUUCUUUCAGCUUUAGGUGUUAUAGAAAAUCUAGUCGACUACCUGGAUUAUGUAAAAAAAAAGUUUUCUGCUCUAAGAUUAUCAGCACAAAACCUUUCUCACUGUUGACACCUUCUUUUUGUUAAGGCGUUAUGAAGAAAGUACUAAGUUUAAGUGGUUAUAUUAUUAUUUUUAUCAAAUAUGGAGGAAUCCUACUGAAAGUUUUGUUUUGAAUUCCAUGACUUUCCCUGACCAACUUUGUCCAAAUUCUCUGACCUUCACAUUUCUUACAGUAUGGAAUAUUGACAUUUACUGUAAACAUUGAGUACACACCUAUCCCUCUUUUUGCACAGUUAAUACAUUCCAAAGACUGUGCCAAAAUGAACAGUACAUACAUCCUGUAGAAAAAUGUUUGAUAGGAUCUACAACUUCAAUGUAAUGAAAAAAUUUUAUUAGACCAAGAAUAGAAUUAAAUUACAAUUAAAUUUUAUAAUUAUUAUUUUUCAUACAAUUCAUAUUUGCUCUCUUCCAAACAGUAUUUACUUAUUUAUUCCUCAAAUAAAACUUUUGA